Long non-coding RNA from Scomber japonicus (chub mackerel), 2671 nucleotides. RefSeq lists it as uncharacterized. The transcript has 2 exons. The record is from RefSeq and is a predicted model, not a curated record. Lineage: Eukaryota; Metazoa; Chordata; Actinopteri; Scombriformes; Scombridae.
CACACACACACACACUCAUGCCUAUUCAUUACUCUAUAGAAAGGCUAUUAGAGCAACUUCACUGACUGACCUAUAAAUGCUCUGUCAAACUGGAUACUAGAAAUUCAAAUGUCUGCUAAACAUCUCCAUUUACCACCGGGGCUUUUCUCUUUAUUUGGCCCUGAAGCCAUGUGACUGAAAACAGGAGACAAAGUCGAUGAAGAGCCCAGCAGUGUGGUGUCACCACCACCCAACACCAGAGCAUUUUUGUGCUUAAGGUGAACAUCCUUUUAACCUCCUUCUCUUCCUGACCCAUCUGAGCUGUUUCGAGAGACACUGUGAGCUAACAAGACUGUCUCAAAAGUUCCACCUUUCAGGCUUCUGGAUGAAAAAAUAUGUUAUUGUACUCUUGUGAAGUGUACUUUUUUUUGUGUUUCAUUUCUCUAAGACUCCCUCAGCCAGCAAGUUAAAGUGAUUGUACUGGAAAACAAAAAAGCAUGACAUUGACAGGAAUUUUAAAGCAGUUCAUCUAAUUUACUGCUGACAGUAAAUGAAGCGAAGCACAGGAGGAGAGAGAGUGCACUUACUGGUUCACAACACAAUUUUGUUUUAUUUGUUUGUUGCCAUUUUUUUACUGGGCUGGGUUCCCAGUAAUCCCACAUGUGUAUUUGGCAUGUUCUUUUUACUCAUGGCCUGACAAAAACAAAGAAAUCAGUGCUUUGACAUUUCUUGACACCCUCCCCUCUUGAAUAUAAAAGCACCUGGCUUGUUAAAUAAGCUAAUCCGUGGGUGCUCUUGAAUGAGUUCCACUGGUGUGUAUGUGUGUGUCCCUCUUAGCAUUUUGAAUCAGCAAGGCUUAGCGGCGCCCCAGACUCUGGCAGUCUGCAGCAGUACCGUUUUGGCCUUCAAAUUAAGGCACACUUGUGUGUGUGUCACUCACACAUAAAUAUGACUGACAUACAAUCACUUAUUUGCUCAAUCUUAAGGGCUUGUUUUAUUUAGCCCUUAAAGUGUAGUUUCUUGUCCAAAUGUUGGAACGUCUAUCAAAGCAGAGUAUGCUUCACAUAUGAGGAAAAAGCCCAGUGGAAUUGUUUGAAUGUGCCAUGGUGGUGACUGGGUAGACUACAUGCUCUAUGCAUUUCCUUACAUCAUUUGUUUUUGUGCGCUUUAUGUGUAGUUUACUAUGCUAUUUACAUAUUCCUGCAUAGAUCUUACUAUAAAAUGUGUUUUUGUUCUUUGCCUGAAACUGUUGGAUGACAGACAGACAGACAGACAUUAAGACAUGUAACAGAGAGAGGCAGCAGCUUGCCUUACUAAUAGCCUGUGGGUGCAGGGAGGCACUGUAAAGCCAGCCUUAACACAGCCCUGGGAUCUGAGAAAUGUACUUGAACACUUGAUCUGGGCCUUUUGGUGGCCACUCUGGUUUUCACCACGCCAUCCCAAACAGGCUUGUAAACACCCUGGUUUGUUAGAAAAUGAUUUUAAUCUGUUUGAGUUAUUUGUUUUAUUAUGUUUGCCUCAGAAAUGAACAGGUUGCUGGUAUACUAAUUACAUUUAAGCGCUCCUUAUACCCCCCUCCAACUAUUCAAAAUGUAUCUGAAUACUCUGAUUGGAUUUACAUGUAGAUUGGCAACCAUUUUUACGCCCAUUGUGUACACUACUUUUACCAGAUGUGUGGAAGAAAAUUCCACAAUCAGAUGUUGACAUUCCAUUAAAUUUUCUUUCAUACCAGGUAACUUUUCAACGGUUUAACCUGGUAGAUAUAGAGAUUACAUUUAUAUUUAGGGCUUUUGACACAUCCCUGCGAUUUUAAAAUUCCAUUUAUUUACAAUUUUAUUUUUAGAAUCACCUGCGUCAAUGCAUAGAUGGAGCUUUGAACUGCUGGACAGAUAAUGUGUUCAACUGAACACAACUCAUCUAUCAUUAUUUACAUCACAGAAUCGCCCUUUAAAAAAUAUUGAUGUCAGCUGCACUGAAAUGUGUCUGUAAAAUUAAAUCAUGGGACAUUUUCCCAAUACUUAUCAGUAUAAGAAGGGGAUUCCUGGAUAUUGAGAACAUAUUUUGCAUGCUCUGCUUUUUGUAGAGCCUUUGCUUUUUCCUCUGUGUAUCUGCACUUGAUAGUUUUUCUGCCGAAGCCCAGAACUGUUUGUUUCCAUCUGUUUUACACUCUGUUCUGUGUGUUAGGAUACGUUACGUGGACAUAUCAGAUUGUCAGAUGAGUGGGGUGGGUCUGGGGAUCAUUAAACGGGGUCAAGAUUACAAAGCACUUACUGUACUAUACUGGAGUCCGCCUCUUUCUUUUGUAAAAAGAGAAACCUCCUGAGCUGAAGCUCUUGAGGUUAUGAGUAAAAACCGCACAGCUGUGUAUCCCCCUUUCCCUCCAUGUCCAGGCCUCCUACAUCUUGUCCUGUUUGCCCAUCGUAUCUUCUUUGUUCUUUUGCAGAAUAUUUUAUGCUGUCUUUGUUUAUCUGUCGUUGAUACCUCUUGUCUCCCUUCACAUUUUGACGCUCCCGCUCCUUUGUCUCUCCUUUUGUCUGUCCUCUAUACCUUUUUUUUUCUUCGUUAGACCUGUCAGUGCAUAUGGUCAUCAAAAAGCUAUUUUGUUUUUGUUUUUUUAAGAGAAAUGUUUUGGGGAUAAAGAGGCUUGUGCCUUUGUAAAGACAGAAUAAUAAAGUUUGUACUUUGUUUUUUA